CACGGAGGAUGCGAGCGUUAUCCGGAUUUAUUGGGUUUAAAGGGUGCGUAGGCUGGUAAUUAAGUCAGCGGUGAAAUUUUGCAGCUUAACUGUAACAGUGCCGUUGAUACUGUUUGGCUAGGAUUUGGUUGUAGUGUGCGGAAUGUGUGGUGUAGCGGUGAAAUGCUUAGAUAUCACACAGAACACCGAUUGCGAAGGCAGCUCACAAAGCCAAGAUUGACGCUGAGGCACGAAAGUGUGGGGAUCAAACAGGAUUA
Molecule: ribosomal RNA, 257 nt
Filed under: uncultured prokaryote
Description: partial 16S ribosomal RNA
Rfam family: Bacterial small subunit ribosomal RNA
Source: RNAcentral